AUGCAGGGCUCGCACGGGGAGGCAGAGGCUUGGCGUGUGACGGGCAGGACAGAGAAGCUUCUGGGUGAUCCAGAGCAGGAGGACGCAGAGCUGGAGGCUUUUCCCACCCCGCUCGCGUCGGCUGGGGCAGAAGCAGUGCCGCAUCCCCCGGGGGGGGGGGGGGGGGGGGGGGGGGGGGGGGGGGGGGGGGGGGGGGGGGGGGGGCGGGGGCAGAAGCAGUGCCGCAUCCCCGGCGAGCCCAGGCUCCGCUCCUCCCGCAGGUGCUGCGUGCUCCGAGCCUGCUGCUAUGCCAAGCUGGCAGCGCGGCGCUGCCGCCCGGGACCCGUGCAGCCGCUCGCUGCGGCCCGGCCGGGGAUCCCCACCUGCAGUGAGUGCUCGGCAUCCCCUCCCCAGACCCUCCCCGUGCCCGGGGCGCUCGGGGAAGGUCUCAGGCGCGCUGUCGGUCCCCGCAGGGUCGGGCACGCGGUGCCAGCGAGGCGCCUGCAGGUGCGAGAGGGCGGCGUGGCUGUGCCGGGCUCAGCUCCGCCGGGCUCAGCUCCGCCGGGCUCAGCUCCGCCGGGCUCAGCUCCGCCGGGCUCAGCUCCGCCGGGCUCAGCUCCGCCGGGCUCAGCUCCGCCGCCGCGCCCGCUGCCGGGGGCGAGCCGGGCGCUGCUGAACCAAAACCUCCCUCUGCAAAAGCAUCUCCGGGCUGAGCCGCGAAGGGACGGCGCCGGCAGCGCUUCCCAGCCCUGGCGAGUCUCCUCCUCGGGGCCUUUUGGCUUGGAGCGGAGGCGAGCAGCGCUCCGGUCACGGCGUGAGGAGGGGCAGCGGCGCUGCCGCGAUGCUCCAGCACAGCCGAGCAAGGCAGGAGCGGGCGCUGCCGCUCGUCCCGCUGCGGGCGGGAUGGGGGGCAUCCCCCUCGGAGCAAGGCAGGAGCGGGCGCUGCCGCUCGUCCCGCUGCGGGCGGGAUGGGGAGCAUCCCCCUCGGCAGCCUGUCCGCUCCCUCCGCUUCCUGCUUCACAGCAAAUCCCCUCCUGUUGCUCCAAAAUAAAACCAGAGAGCCCAAAGCACCGGUUCGCAGCGUGCCGUGACUCAGCUGAGCCCAGCGCCCACCCUCACCUCCCAGACAGGUUCCCUGUUGAAGUUCUCACCAAAAAGGACACUUGA
This 1146-nucleotide long non-coding RNA is filed under the name Ficedula albicollis (Collared flycatcher). RNAcentral describes it as "lncRNA (ENSFALG00000026784.1)". Lineage: Eukaryota; Metazoa; Chordata; Aves; Passeriformes; Muscicapidae. The record is from RNAcentral.